This 293-nucleotide long non-coding RNA is filed under the name Ananas comosus (pineapple). Its description in RNAcentral is "long non-coding RNA (ACOM_LNC021019)". Lineage: Eukaryota; Viridiplantae; Streptophyta; Magnoliopsida; Poales; Bromeliaceae. The record is from RNAcentral.
UUUAGGAAAACGACGCUUUAUCAUCCCAGCCACAUAUAUCUCGGCUUCAUCAGCCGAUUCUUUACUUUUAUUCGAUUAGUUCGGCUCUUCUUGAACCGAAUAUUUUUCUAUCAAGAAAUUCUCCUUAAAGAAAGUGGCUAUAUCUCGGCUUCAUCGGCCGAUUCUUCACUUUCACUCGAUUGGCUCGGCUCUUCUUGAACCGACUGUUCUUCUAGCAAUGAUUUCUCCUUGCCUUUGCUUUGAUUUUUAUAUCGGCUCCAUUGCAGCCGAUCGUCCUCACUUUUCUUCUGAAA